AGCAGUCGCCACGGUAAUACGUAGGGUGCAAGCGUUAAUCGGAAUUACUGGGCGUAAAGCGUGCGCAGGCGGUUAUAUAAGACAGAUGUGAAAUCCCCGGGCUCAACCUGGGAACUGCAUUUGUGACUGUAUAGCUAGAGUACGGCAGAGGGGGAUGGAAUUCCGCGUGUAGCAGUGAAAUGCGUAGAUAUGCGGAGGAACACCGAUGGCGAAGGCAAUCCCCUGGGCCUGUACUGACGCUCAUGCACGAAAGCGUGGGGAGCAAACAGGAUUAGAUACCCCAGUAGUCCCUGUCUCUUAUAA
Molecule: ribosomal RNA, 303 nt
Filed under: uncultured bacterium
Lineage: Bacteria
Description: partial 16S ribosomal RNA
Rfam family: Bacterial small subunit ribosomal RNA
Source: RNAcentral